GUGGGGAAUAUUGCGCAAUGGGGGAAACCCUGACGCAGCGACGCCGCGUGGAGGAUGAAGGUUUUCGGAUCGUAAACUCCUGUUAAGUGGGAAGAAAUGGCAGAAUUUAAUACAUUCUGCAGCUGACGGUACCACUAGAGAAAGCACCGGCUAACUUCGUGCCAGCAGCCGCGGUAAUACGAAGGGUGCAAGCGUUAUUCGGAAUAACUGGGCGUAAAGAGCGCGUAGGCGGCUUGUUAAGUCAAUUGUUAAAUCCCUCAGCCUAACUGAGGUCAUGCAGUUGAUACUGGCAAGCUAGAGGUCAAGAGAGAGAAGUGGAAUUCUCGGAGUAGCGGUAAAAUGCGUAGAUCUCGAGAGGAACAUCGGUUGCGAAGGCGGCUUCUUGGCUUGAAUCUGACGCUAAAGCGCGAAAGCGUGGGGAGCAAACAGGAUUAGAUACCCGGGUAGUCC
Molecule: ribosomal RNA, 450 nt
Filed under: uncultured bacterium
Lineage: Bacteria
Description: bacterial SSU rRNA
Rfam family: Bacterial small subunit ribosomal RNA
Source: RNAcentral